Molecule: ribosomal RNA, 596 nt
Filed under: uncultured bacterium
Lineage: Bacteria
Description: bacterial SSU rRNA
Rfam family: Bacterial small subunit ribosomal RNA
Source: RNAcentral
AAUACAUCGGAACGUGCCCGAUCGUGGGGGAUAACGGAGCGAAAGCUUUGCUAAUACCGCAUACGAUCUACGGAUGAAAGCAGGGGACCGCAAGGCCUUGCGCGAACGGAGCGGCCGAUGGCAGAUUAGGUAGUUGGUGGGAUAAAAGCUUACCAAGCCGACGAUCUGUAGCUGGUCUGAGAGGACGACCAGCCACACUGGGACUGAGACACGGCCCAGACUCCUACGGGAGGCAGCAGUGGGGAAUUUUGGACAAUGGGCGCAAGCCUGAUCCAGCCAUGCCGCGUGCAGGAUGAAGGCCUUCGGGUUGUAAACUGCUUUUGUACGGAACGAAAAGACUCUGGUUAAUACCUGGGGUCCAUGACGGUACCGUAAGAAUAAGCACCGGCUAACUACGUGCCAGCAGCCGCGGUAAUACGUAGGGUGCAAGCGUUAAUCGGAAUUACUGGGCGUAAAGCGUGCGCAGGCGGUUAUGUAAGACAGAUGUGAAAUCCCCGGGCUCAACCUGGGAACUGCAUUUGUGACUGCAUAGCUAGAGUACGGUAGAGGGGGAUGGAAUUCCGCGUGUAGCAGUGAAAUGCGUAGAUAUGCGGAGG